UACGGAGGAUGCGAGCGUUAUCCGGAUUUAUUGGGUUUAAAGGGUGCGUAGGCGGCUUUUUAAGUCAGCGGUGAAAUUUUGCAGCUUAACUGUAACAGUGCCGUUGAUACUGCCAGGCUAGGAUUUGGUUGCUGUGGGUGGAAUGUGUGGUGUAGCGGUGAAAUGCUUAGAUAUCACACAGAAUAUCGAUUGCGAAGGCAGCUCACAAAGCCAAGAUUGACGCUGAGGCACGAAAGUGUGGGGAUCAAACAGGA
RNAcentral lists this ribosomal RNA (254 nucleotides) under uncultured prokaryote. Its description in RNAcentral is "partial 16S ribosomal RNA". It matches the Rfam family "Bacterial small subunit ribosomal RNA", at positions 524 to 777 of the family's 1533-position model. The record is from RNAcentral.